Molecule: ribosomal RNA, 286 nt
Filed under: uncultured prokaryote
Description: partial 16S ribosomal RNA
Rfam family: Bacterial small subunit ribosomal RNA
Source: RNAcentral
GACGAACUGUUCUAACGUUAUUCGGAAUCACUGGGCUUAAAGGGCGCGUAGGCUGUUUGUUAAGCGGGGUCUGAAAUCCCUCGGCUCAACCGAGGAACUGGGCUUCGAACUGGCAGACUAGAGUGAAGUAGGGGUAAGCGGAAUUUGCGGUGGAGCGGUGAAAUGCUUUGAUAUCGCAAGGAACACCGGCGGCGAAGGCGGCUUACUGGGCUUCAACUGACGCUUAAGCGCGAAAGCUAGGGUAGCGAACGGGAUUAGAUACCCGCGUAGUCCCUGAGCGGGCUGG